GGAGGUAACAGCCCUGUAGUCAAAACUUCGUUCUCUCCUGAGUGGAUCCUGAGUACGGCGGAACACGUGAAAUUCCGUCGGAAUCCGGGAGGACCAUCUCCCAAGGCUAAAUACUCCCUAGUGACCGAUAGUGAACCAGUACCGUGAGGGAAAGGUGAAAAGCACCCCGGAAGGGGAGUGAAAUAGCUCCUGAAACCGUGUGCCUACAAGUAGUCAGAGCCCGUUAACGGGUGAUGGCGUGCCUUUUGUAGAAUGAACCGGCGAGUUACGAUCCCGUGCAAGGUUAAGCAGAAGAUGCGGAGCCGCAGCG
RNAcentral lists this ribosomal RNA (310 nucleotides) under Bacillus siamensis. RNAcentral describes it as "bacterial LSU rRNA". It matches the Rfam family "Bacterial large subunit ribosomal RNA", at positions 360 to 673 of the family's 2925-position model. The record is from RNAcentral. Lineage: Bacteria; Bacillati; Bacillota; Bacilli; Caryophanales; Bacillaceae.